This 1216-nucleotide long non-coding RNA is filed under the name Meleagris gallopavo (turkey). RNAcentral's name for it is "lncRNA (ENSMGAG00000019419.1)". The record is from RNAcentral. Lineage: Eukaryota; Metazoa; Chordata; Aves; Galliformes; Phasianidae.
GGGCGACGGGCGUUCGGCCGCCCCCGCGCCGCCGGUGCCCGGCUCAUUUAACGCGUCGCUUUCUCUUUCUGCUUCAACCCCGGAGCCUUUUGCAGCGGACGCCCAGCCCCGGCACGGGCGCGAUCGUGGGUUCACGUGUUCGUGCCCGAGUUGGGCUUUGCUGGGAGGGAAGUUGCGCGACGGACGGACUGCCGCGUUUCGUCUUUGUCAUGGCUGCGUGCGAGCAGAUUCUUGAAGAGCAACUUAGGAGCUGGACUGGAGAGGAUCUGUUUUGAAGUUGCCAUCAGUACAGUAUUUUCCCUGCAGGGUCACACUCAGCACUUACUUUAUUAAGUAAGAAAGAAGCUUCCUUUCUGUACCAACAUUGGGCUGCUGUGAGUGCUGAUGCAGCGCACCCUGUAUCCCUGCAGCUCUGCAUGGGACAGGCAGGGGACAACGGGCAGCCUAUUUCCAUCCCACAGUGACAGGUAAGUGACACACAGCUACUUUAACAAAGUCUAUUUUCACCUCCCAGGCACAUAGAGUGAGGCUGGAGACAGAAGGAUAAAUGUCACAAUACCAUCAAGAGGGAUUUGUUUCACUGAUGGAUGCCACCUGUAUGCAGCAGUGUCCUGUAGCUCACAGAAGCAGUGAACAGGGUUGAGAUCAUGGAAUUUAGAAGUAAUCCUGUCAUGCUGGAAGGUUAAAGGCAGUUUUAAAAUGGAUUAUUUUUGUUGCUUCCACCAGAGGUUGAUCAAUAGCAAAUUCACCUAUUAAUCCCACUUGGUUCUGUUUUACCUCCAACACAGACAGUACAAACAGUUUAUUGAGUUUGAUGUCUGCUUCUUGUUAGGAACUUCAAGGCAUACAUUCAUACUACAGAUUUCUACAGAAGUACUCACAUCAAAUUAGGUUUGAAGGCUGAAAGCAGGCUGUCAUUCCACCUUUCCUAGGUGAUUCUCAUGCCUCUGAAAAGCUGAGCAUCUUUCAGAGAAGCAGAUCAUGUCUGUGGAAUUUAUUGACACAAGAAUAGAUCCCAUUAAUAAGCACCAUGAGUUUGUGGUUACCACUGUGCUCUGUCCCUGCUGGAAGGAAACUCAGAAGGGCUUCUUGUUUCUGCCCGAGAGAUGUGCUUAGAGAUCAGCUCUGAACCUGGUUCCUCACAUGUUUCCUUGCAAGUUACAGCACGAGCACAAAGGAGCUCAGACCAGCCCUGCACCACUUUCCAAAGUCAGCU